RNAcentral lists this long non-coding RNA (358 nucleotides) under Mytilus galloprovincialis (Mediterranean mussel). Lineage: Eukaryota; Metazoa; Mollusca; Bivalvia; Mytilida; Mytilidae. The record is from RNAcentral.
GGGGAAAUAACUCUCAUAUGGAGCGUUCAUAUUGCUUCGGUCGAAAUUGGACAAAUCAUGUGAAGGAUAUAACGAGCAAUUUUAUAAAAUAAAUUUGUCGUAAUCUUUUACGGUUGCGAAGGAGUUGUGGACACAAGGAAAACAGUGUUUGGGGAGAUAACUCCUACAAAGAAAAGUAUUCGGUUACGCAGGGUAAAUUUCAAAAGCGCAUAAACUGUUCGAUAUCAUAUACCAAAUAUCUAAGCGACAUAUUGCGAAACAAAUAUUUAUCGCAAGAACAAAAUUAGGCGGAAGAAAAAAAAAAUAAUCAGAAGAAAAACAAUAGGUCUUUCCACAGAAAAGUGGAAAGACCUAAUUA